Molecule: long non-coding RNA, 1727 nt
Filed under: Equus asinus (donkey)
Lineage: Eukaryota; Metazoa; Chordata; Mammalia; Perissodactyla; Equidae
Description: lncRNA (ENSEASG00005028046.1)
Source: RNAcentral
AAAAGGAGGGUAAACAGUUUUCUGCACCUUUACGUUGGGGAGUUGUAAAGUCAGUAAGAUAACAAGAAACAACUGCGAGAAAUCAGUGACUGUAAUUGCUUGUAAAUAUUUCCACCAAAAUAAUGAGUAGUGUUUGAUGGGGUCAGUUUAAUCAACAGUUCAUUACCAAAUCAGUCGUUCUUUCAUUAUGUUGUAAGAAGUAUACAGUUAAAACUAGACCCAGAGCACGCUAACAUUAAUCUGGCUGUUAAGACUACUUUAUAAAAUGUUAUAUACAGUGUAUUUUCAAAUUCUUUAAGCGAUCAAAACCCACUUGAUAUAUAGAUUUUUUCAUCUGAAAUUGCGAAAAUUAUUUUCUCUCCUUUUCAGUUUUUCUACCAAGUAACUAAAACUUCGCAUUGGGCAUUUUUUCUAUUUUUGAGAUAUGUUUUCAAAGAAAAGUUAGAGUAGAAUGAAAAUGAGAAUCUUUGGAUACAAAUGAGAAAAAUCUAAUGUUAUAUGAAAAUUCUAUUCUUAAUCAAUUUGAAAUGUUCAUAUGUUACAGAAAACAGCAAACCAAUGCUUAAUGAGAAAUGAAACACUUAUGAAUCUUGGCUGGCCUGUGGCCUAGUGGUUAAGUUCAGCGUGCUCUGCUUUGGUGGCCCGGAUCCCAGUUAUGGACCUACACAACUCAUCAGCCAUGCUGUGGUGGUGACCCACAUACAAAACACAGGAGGAUUGGCAUGGAUGUUAGCUCAAGGCUAAUCUUCCUCAAGCAAAAUAAGCAAAUUGGCAACAGAUGUCAGCUCAGGCUUAAUCUUCCUCAGGAAAGUAAAAUUAUUUGCAUGAAGGGUUCUGUCUGCACUCAGUAAUUUCAAUGAUUCUGCCUUUCUGGUGGUGAUGUUAACUUUGGUCACUUGGUUUAGGUGGUGUCUGCUGCUUUCUCCACUGUAGAGUUACUAUUUUUCUCCUUGUAAUUAAUAAAUAUUAUAUGGAGAGAUGCCUUGAUGUGUUACAAAUAUCCUAUUUCUCAUCGUAAUUUCACCUGCUAAUUUUAGCCAGAAGGCAUUGAUGGUUCUUGCCUGAAACAAUUGGUGUUUACCUGAUGCUAAGUAUUUUCCUCAUUUGUUCUAUAGUUAUUAUUUGGAAUUCUUCGGUAAAAAAGAGCUAUCCUUUCCCCCCAUUUAUGUCACAUAGACUUAUGGAUAUUUAAGAAAAUUAUUAUCUUAAGCCGUAGGAAGUAUAUAUAGAGGUUGAGAGCGCAGACUCUGGAAUCAGACGACCUGGAUUUGAUUAUUCUGUGUGCCAGUUGCGGGACUUUGUCAAGCUACGUAACUGCUCUGUGCCUUAGUUUCCUCAUUUCUAAGUGGAGAAAAUGACCCCCACCUUAGUUUGGUGUGAGAAUUAGGGGAGAUAAUACAUGUAGUCUUUAGGCUAGCUUUAAUUACUCUUUCUUAGCAAAUAUUUUGUACUGUGCUUAGUUUUACUAUUUAUAAGUUUCCCCACCCACAAAUUGAAUAUAAAAAAUAUUUGUCAUGUGCUUGCUUCCCUGAGAAAUUGUUAAAAUUCACAAAAUGAAUUUAAAAGUGCUUUGUAGUGUUAAGGAGAUGUAUAAGUUCUUAUUUCUGAAAUUAUAUAUGUAUAUUGCUAAGAUCCGUUUGGUGAUCAUGAUUUUGUUCUUGGGCUGUUCUUUGUGUUAGAAAUGUAGAUGACUAUAAAAUGUGAUAGAAUUAUUUUUAACAUUUUAG